RNAcentral lists this ribosomal RNA (253 nucleotides) under uncultured prokaryote. RNAcentral describes it as "partial 16S ribosomal RNA". It matches the Rfam family "Bacterial small subunit ribosomal RNA", at positions 525 to 777 of the family's 1533-position model. The record is from RNAcentral.
ACGUAGGGACCAAGCGUUGUUCGGAUUUACUGGGCGUAAAGGGCGCGUAGGCGGCAAUUCAAGUCAUCUGUGAAAUCUCCGGGCUUAACUCGGAACGGUCAGAUGAUACUGCUUUGCUCGAGUGCGGAAGGGGCAAUCGGAAUUCUUGGUGUAGCGGUGAAAUGCGUAGAUAUCAGGAGGAACACCGAUGGCGAAGGCAGGUCUCUGGGCCAUUACUGACACUGAGAAGCGAAAGCAUGGGGAGCGAACAGGA